RNAcentral lists this RNase P RNA (356 nucleotides) under Elusimicrobiota bacterium. Its description in RNAcentral is "RNase P RNA component class A". It matches the Rfam family "Bacterial RNase P class A". Rfam says of the family: Ribonuclease P (RNase P) is a ubiquitous endoribonuclease, found in archaea, bacteria and eukarya as well as chloroplasts and mitochondria. Its best characterised activity is the generation of mature 5'-ends of tRNAs by cleaving the 5'-leader elements of precursor-tRNAs. Cellular RNase Ps are ribonucleoproteins. The record is from RNAcentral. Lineage: Bacteria; Pseudomonadati; Elusimicrobiota.
AGGGACGGCCGGAGGGCCGCUGAGCCGCGAGGCUUGGAGGAACUUCCGGACUCCGUUGAGCGCGACGCCCGUCGAAAGGCGGGGGAUUGCGGGCCAUAACCCGCAGUCAUGGACAGUACCACAGAAAGUUACCGCCCGAAAGGGUAAGGGUGAAAAGGUGGGGUAAGAGCCCACCGGUAGGCGCCGUAAGGUGCCGCGCAUAGGUAAACCCCGUCGGGAGCAAGGCAGUUGGGCGGAGGACGCUGCUCGCGUCAGAAGGGAGCUUGCUCCCUCACGGCCGCCCGGUAGCCGCUUAGAGAAAUGGUCCUCGAGCCCGCAAGGGUGGACAGAAUCCGGGGUACAGGCCGUCCCUGAUU